This 459-nucleotide ribosomal RNA is filed under the name uncultured bacterium. RNAcentral's name for it is "partial 16S ribosomal RNA". It matches the Rfam family "Bacterial small subunit ribosomal RNA", at positions 338 to 795 of the family's 1533-position model. The record is from RNAcentral.
CCUACGGGAGACAGCAGUGAGGAAUAUUGGUCAAUGGGCGCGAGCCUGAACCAGCCAAGUCGCGUGAGGGAAGACGGUCCUAUGGAUUGUAAACCUCUUUUGUCGGGGAGCAAAAGACGCCACGCGUGGCGUUCCGAGAGUACCCGAAGAAAAAGCAUCGGCUAACUCCGUGCCAGCAGCCGCGGUAAUACGGAGGAUGCGAGCGUUAUCCGGAUUUAUUGGGUUAAAAGGGUGCGCAGGCGGAAGAUCAAGUCAGCGGUAAAAUUGAGAGGCUCAACCUCUUCGAGCCGUUGAAACUGGUUGUCUUGAGUGAGCGAGAGGUAUGCGGAAUGCGUGGUGUAGCGGUGAAAUGCAUAGAUAUCACGCAGAACUCCGAUUGCGAAGGCAGCAUACCGGCGCUCAACUGACGCUCAUGCACGAAAGUGUGGGUAUCGAACAGGAUGAGAUACCCGGGUAGUC